RNAcentral lists this unclassified non-coding RNA (246 nucleotides) under Glomus sp. RNAcentral's name for it is "partial internal transcribed spacer 2". Lineage: Eukaryota; Fungi; Glomeromycota; Glomeromycetes; Glomerales; Glomeraceae. The record is from RNAcentral.
GUGAAUCAUCGAAUCUUUGAACGCAAAUUGCACUCUCCUCGGAUAUUAUGCCUGUUUGAGUUCCAGCCUCUAAACAUCGACAUCGUUGUUGUUUCGCGGUGGGGUUCGUCGGUAAUUUGGUCAUCUUAAAUCCUUUUGGUUUAAGCGACUUAAAUUUUUCUUUUGGUUACAUGUACGUUUCUAAGAUCUAUUUCUUUACACGUUUCAGGUAUCGAUUCUUACUAGCCGUGACUAUCAUAUCGUAUC